GACGAACGCUGGCGGCGUGCUUAACACAUGCAAGUCGAACGGAAAGGCCGUGCUUUUGUGGGGUGCUCGAGUGGCGAACGGGUGAGUAACACGUGAGUAACCUGCCCUUGACUUUGGGAUAACUUCAGGAAACUGGGGCUAAUACCGGAUAGGAGCUCCUGCUGCAUGGUGGGGGUUGGAUAGUUUCGGCGGUUGGGGAUGGACUCGCGGCUUAUCAGCUUGUUGGUGGGGUAGUGGCUUACCAAGGCUUUGACGGGUAGCCGGCCUGAGAGGGUGACCGGCAACAUUGGGACUGAGAUACGGCCCAGACUGCUACGGGAGGCAGCAGUGGGGAAUAGUGAACAAUGGGCGGAAGCCUGAUGCAGAAACGCCGCGGGCGGGAUGACGGCCUUCGGGUUGUAAAACGCUUUAGCCUGUGACGAAGCGUGAGUGACGGUAAUGGGUAAAGAAGCACCGGCUAACUACGUG
RNAcentral lists this ribosomal RNA (468 nucleotides) under uncultured bacterium. Its description in RNAcentral is "partial 16S ribosomal RNA". It matches the Rfam family "Bacterial small subunit ribosomal RNA", at positions 28 to 507 of the family's 1533-position model. The record is from RNAcentral.